Molecule: signal recognition particle RNA, 264 nt
Filed under: Clostridia bacterium
Lineage: Bacteria; Bacillati; Bacillota; Clostridia
Description: signal recognition particle sRNA large type
Rfam family: Bacterial large signal recognition particle RNA
About the family: The signal recognition particle (SRP) is a universally conserved ribonucleoprotein involved in the co-translational targeting of proteins to membranes. Archaeal SRP consists of a 7S RNA and homologues of the eukaryotic SRP19 and SRP54 proteins.
Source: RNAcentral
CUAAGCUAGAUGGGGAGCUAGUAGUGCCCUGUAACCCGAGAUCUACUAUAGCGGGGUCGAACGCAUUUUUAGACACAAGGUAUGGAAGGUUGCGUUAAGCAAGCGGUGUUGAUAACAAGGUCUUAAACAAUAGAGCUUUGUGAACCGUGUCAGAGCCUGACCGCAGCAGCACUAAGCAAAUUCCUUUAUGUGCUUUGAGGUAGCUUUGUAGUAGCUGGCUACUUGAUUUCCACUUCGGUGCUUUGUGGCAACAAAUGUGCUUAG